CCAGCAGCCGCGGUAAUACGUAGGUGCCGAGCGUUAUUCGGAAUUAUUGGGCCUAGAGGGUUCUUAGGGGGUAAUGUAAGUCCGGUGUGAAAUCUCGAGGCUCAACCUCGAAACUGCAUUGGAAACUGCAUUACUUGAGUGUCAGAGAGGAAAGCGGAAUUCCUGGUGUACCGGUGGAAUGCGUAGAUAUCAGGAAGAACACCGACGGCGAAGGCAGCUUUCUGGCUGGCAACUGACCCUGAUGAACGAAAGCUAGGGUAGCGAACAGGAUUAGAUACCCUGGUAGUCCUAGCUGUAAACGUUGUGCACUGGAUGUGGGCGGAUUUGGUCCCGUCUGUGUCUGAGCGAAGGCGUUAAGUGCACCGCCUGGGGACUACGGCCGCAAGGCUAAAACUCAAAGGAAUUGACGGGGGCCCGCACAAGCGGUGGAGCAUGUGGCUCAAUUCGAGGCAACGCGAAGAACCUUACCUGGGUUUGACAUAUACCUGACCGCCGGUGAGAGCCGGUUUCUCUUUGAGCAGGUAUACAGGUGCUGCAUGGCUGUCGACAGCUCGUGCUGUGAAGUGUUCGGUUAAGUCCGGCAACGAGCGCAACCCACGCUGUUAGUUACCAUCAGGUAAUGCUGGGGACUCUAACAGGACUGCCCGUGCUAAGCGGGAGGAAGGCGUGGACGACGUCAAGUCCGCAUGGCCCUUACGCCCAGGGCUGCACACGUGCUACAAUGGCCGGUACAGAGGGUCGCCACUCUGCGAAGAGGAGCUAACCCCGAAAACCGGCCUCAGUUCGGAUUGGAGUCUGCAACCCGACUCCAUGAAGUAGGAAUCGCUAGUAAAGGCGUAUCAGCAACGGCGCCUUGAAUCUGUUCCCGGGCCUUGUACACACCGCCCGUCACAUCAUGGAAGCCGGCUGCACCCGAAGUCGCUAUCCGUUUUACGGAGGCGCCGAAGGUGUGGCUGGUAACUGGGAUGAAGUCGUNANAAGUAACACAGGG
RNAcentral lists this ribosomal RNA (991 nucleotides) under uncultured organism. RNAcentral's name for it is "bacterial SSU rRNA". It matches the Rfam family "Bacterial small subunit ribosomal RNA", at positions 508 to 1505 of the family's 1533-position model. The record is from RNAcentral.